AACUUUCAACAACGGAUCUCUUGGUUCUGGCAUCGAUGAAGAACGCAGCGAAAUGCGAUAAGUAAUGUGAAUUGCAGAAUUCAGUGAAUCAUCGAAUCUUUGAACGCACAUUGCGCCCAGUGGUAUUCCACUGGGCAUGCCUGUUCGAGCGUUAUA
RNAcentral lists this ribosomal RNA (156 nucleotides) under Oxydothis metroxyli. Its description in RNAcentral is "Oxydothis metroxylonis 5.8S ribosomal RNA". It matches the Rfam family "5.8S ribosomal RNA". Rfam says of the family: 5.8S ribosomal RNA (5.8S rRNA) is a component of the large subunit of the eukaryotic ribosome. It is transcribed by RNA polymerase I as part of the 45S precursor that also contains 18S and 28S rRNA. The record is from RNAcentral. Lineage: Eukaryota; Fungi; Ascomycota; Sordariomycetes; Amphisphaeriales; Oxydothidaceae.